AACGAACGCUGGCGGCAGGCUUAACACAUGCAAGUCGAACGGGAUCUUCGGAUCUAGUGGCAGACGGGUGAGGAACACGUGGGAACAUCCCUUUCAGUUCGGAAUAACGUUGGGAAACUAACGCUAAUACCGGAUACGUCCUUCGGGAGAAAGAUUUAUCGCUGAAGGAUUGGCCCGCGUCUGAUUAGCUAGUUGGUGAGGUAAUGGCUCACCAAGGCUACGAUCAGUAGCUGAUCUGAGAGGAUGAUCAGCCACAUUGGGACUGAGCACACGGCCCAAACUCCUACGGGAGGCAGCAGUGGGGAAUAUUGGACAAUGGGCGCAAGCCUGAUCCAGCCAUGCCGCGUGAGUGAUGACGGCCUUCGGGUUGUAAAGCUCUUUUGUCCGGGAAGAUAAUGACUGUACCGGAAGAAUAAGCCCCGGCAAACUUCGUGCCAGCCGCCGCGGUAA
Molecule: ribosomal RNA, 450 nt
Filed under: uncultured bacterium
Lineage: Bacteria
Description: partial 16S ribosomal RNA
Rfam family: Bacterial small subunit ribosomal RNA
Source: RNAcentral